AUUUAAGUAGUUUAAAUAAAACAUUGAUUUGUGGUGUCAAAUAUACAAAUAUUUUUGUCUUAGAUC
RNAcentral lists this transfer RNA (66 nucleotides) under Bittacomorphella fenderiana. Its description in RNAcentral is "tRNA-His". The record is from RNAcentral. Lineage: Eukaryota; Metazoa; Arthropoda; Insecta; Diptera; Ptychopteridae.